UUCCAGGUGAACAAGAGGGAACAAGUUUCUGGAUGAGAGGGAAAAGCCAGGGCAAGGAUUUGGAAGGAUGACACACCCACUGACCCAUAGGUCAGUCUACAUGAAUGGAUUUGCAGAUUAUGUUCUGAGAGCAACCUUUGAAAGGAGAAGGCUGCAUGGUCAUGCAGAGGCAAUACAAGAAGCAGACACAGAGGGAGACACAAAGGGAGGAGAAGGAGUUGGGACAAAAGGCUGGGAGGGAAAGCUGAUGGCCAAUUGUGUCCACACCACGACCUCCCUUCAGGCAACAUUAUUUGGUAAAUCUCUGCACACAGAAUAAGAUGAGAACUUCUGUUCCCCCAGGGAAUAUGCUGUUUGCUCAGGCCCAGUAACUUAAGUGGCUAUUUGCUCUGCUGGCUUAGGCCUCUGGUUCAUUUGCUAGAACAACGAUAGCAGUGGCAGAAAACUCAUUUUUCUGAGAAGUUUGGUCCAAGUGAGUGCUGUUCCACAGAUACAACUUUUCAAUCUUGCUAUCUUGCCACCAUUUUCACUCCUGGAUAUUUAUUUCAUAUUUAUUUUCACUCCUGGAUAUUUUCAACACACAUGUGUCCUGUGAGCAAGCUAACAUGCGCGACUCUAUUUUAAAUUUCUAAUGUGUGCCUCCAUGCACAAUUUUAGUCUUUCAGCUAGGCUCACUAUUUCUGUUGACAUCCAAUUGUAUCUCUGACUUAGUCUGAAGAAAUUAAGCAUAUCUCUUUCAUCUCAAUGCAAACAAUGGUUUGUAUUCUCUUUCACAUGACUUGAAAAUUCUGUACACCAAAAGGCUCGCUGGGCUUUUGUAAAAGCAAUGCACAAUGAUUGUUUUGAAAGAAUAAGCCUUUCUGAAAAUUCCUACAGAGUAUGCUAAGGCUACAAAGUUCAAAGGAAUUUGGUCAGAUUCAAUGGAAUAGCCUCUUGGUUCAAGUGAAGGACUUGGAGGGAGGAAUAAAACAAAUCCACCUUCUUUUUAAAUAGAAAUGAAAAGAGAGCUAAGCAGAAACGUCAACAGGAAGGAAGCUGAAAUACAAUAAAUGGGAGUGGCCACUGCUGAACACAAGUUAGAGAAACAUUUUAAUAAAACACACAAGGCUAAUUUCAGUCACUCAGAUACUUCACAUCAGAUCAGGGAAAAUAAAGAUCUAAGUCUUUACCGCUAAUUCUUAGGAAAUGAAGAUCCCAUCCCAUGAAAAAAAAAAAAUUGGUAUAGAAAAUUUCCACUGUUUUUCUUCUCAUUCUUUGAAUCAAUUCCUGAUGAUUUUGACAGCAGUUUAAAAAAAUGUUAAUUCCAUGCUCUCAAUGGAAACUUUUCCAAAACAGUAUUCAAAAUAUCUGAAGUAGUUACGAAAAUAAAAAUAAAACCCCCAACCAAGCAAACAGCAAUAACAAUACUGCUGUAAUUAAUCAGCACAAAAGGCUUCCCCAUGCCCAGAAGUCCUGGCAGGGAUGUGGGUUGCUGCUCAUGAGAGUGACACCUAUGUGAUGACAGCUGUGACUUGCAGGGUGUCUGAGACUCCAAAUACAAAACCAAACAGGAGUCCUCGGGAAAUUCUCCCUUUUGCUCACUCUGUGUAUAUUCAAACACAAACUAUUUUCAAAAAAUUCCCUAAAACCCCUCUGAGUGGGAUGGAAGGGACUAGGCAAGCAUAUUGCACUGUAAUUAACACCCGUUCACCACUGACAUCACACGUCAGUGUAAAGAUAGGUCACGUACUUUUAAUUUCUCACACGCACGUCAGCGGUAAACAGUCCCAGUGUUCGUGUUAAUGACACCAUCUGGCGCCUCCCAUAACUGUGUAGCAUUCAGCUUCCAAACAAGAUGUAAUGGCAGCAACACAUGAAACCCACUGACAUUUACAGUAAGGAAAUUUAUUAUCAGUCAUCGGUUUGGUAUAAAUGUGUUUGCAUGACUGCUGGGGCUAUAAAAUCGUCACCUUUGCCAGGCAAGCAAAGGUGCAAUAAAUAAUGGAUUUUAAGCCAUGCAUGUACUACCAAAUCAUUAAACAUUUAUCAAACAGGCACAAUAGCAUCUUAAGCAACAGUUACCACUUGAAAAAUUAAUGCCACUUUUGAGGGUUAAAUGAAAACCAUAUAGUCUAAGCCUUAAUGAUUUUUAAUGUGGUUCAGUACAGAAUAUGAAGUUUUUUUAUUUUUAUUUUUAGUUGAAUAUGAUAUAUAUAUAUAUAAAUAGGUCUUCUAUAAUAAUUUCCUCUUGAGGAAGAAUCACUCUAUGUUCUUUGGUUAAAUACUAAAAAAUACAAUUGAAAUGUUUCUUGAAAAAGAAAUCAUGGUUAAAACCUUUCAAAACUAGAAAUGGCAAACAAAAGGGUCUUUAGGAGUCACGUGGUAUUAUUUUCUUUAAAAUCCUUAAUGGAUUAGUCAGUGAUGAUUGCAAUUAAACUAUUUUAACUUUGGAUUUAAGGAAACAUAAAGUCAAAACCAACAAAAUCCCCUGAGUAUCCCAGCCAUGUUUGUCCCUACUACUUAUUCCUUCCAAAUACUCUCCCCAUGGCAUGCCAGUGAUUUCUCCAAUAUGCUUGUUCUAUGGGUAUCCGUUGUUUUAAGAACAAAAUCCUUAGCAAUAACAAUUCAAAAUACAGAUAGAUUAGAGGAAGGUUUCGUGGAGGAUUAGAGGAAGGCUUUAUGGAGGACUUAUCAAAGAAUAAUUUUUGACUCAAAGAAACAAAGAGAAACCUGCGUGGGAACUAAUUAUUUAUUUGCUUGCUGGACAUGGAACAAUGAAGGCAGAGAAGCCAGUGGCUGCUUUGACAUGAGGCUUCCCGUGUGGGAGGUGAACCAGAAGCCAAGCCUGGACGGAGACUGUGCCAUCAAGAGGCUCUGUCACGAGAUGCCAAGAUGAGCACGCGUCUCCAAAACAACACAAUCUCAACAUGCAAAAUGAUCACCAAGCAAGAGGAAACAGAGUGAGCCCUAGAGGUGAGGAAGUUGCCUGAAUUCCAUCUGUGUGCCCACAUACACAAAGCUCUGUUACACAAAGGAGCUACUCCAGCGACUAACUUAAGUGGGAUUAUGUGGAAACGAACACAAUCCACUGGGAUGGUGGUACUGUUAUGGAACAACACAGAUUGCCUGAGCCUGGAUAUCAAAACAAAAGCACCGAGUAUGGGAAUUUUUCUCAAACAGCUUCUCUGUCCAGUAUCCUGAGAGGGCCCCACACUGCCCUGUCCUUCCAUCUGUCACUAAUUAAUUCAAAUAUUUCCUAGGGUUCUAGCUGCUACCUUACAUCUUCUGGAAGUGACUAUCAGGGCCCUCACAGAGGUAAAGAAUCAAUGAAUAACUCCAAGAAGCCUUUGCUCAUUUCUUUCAAAGUUGUGUCGCUUCCAUAAUACCUGAUGAAACACUCUGCCUUCAUAUGAGGGGGCGGGGAGGGGGUGGAGAGAGAGAGAGAGAGAGAUUGCACACCAUGGCGAAAACAGCUCUCCUGAAGGGUGUGAAAAAACAGUUAACAACGAAGGGGAGAGAAACAAAAAGCUAUUCAACAGAUGCAUGUCAUUUUUACUCUUCAGUGUGGAUCAGUUUUUCUUGUUAAUUAUAUCACCUAUUCUUUCCUUAUAUUGAUAAUUACAUAAUUACAUGAAACAGAUGGGUGACAGAAUGCACCCAGAUGGUGAGAACGUAAACAGGCUUACAAAUUGCUUAUUCUUGAGCAUAUUAAAAAGAAUUAUUUAAUAAUACAUAGAUUUCUAUACUCUACACAUCUGUUGAGUAGAGCCUUCAAAAUGGGUUACUUUGUCAUUUUUUUUUUUUUCUUAAACAGAUACAGUGUCCUCCCUGGGAAUUCCUGGGAGGCCAACUGCCAUGGAGGUAAAAUAUUUCACCUUUUCCAAAAUUUGGAUUCCUGAAAUUCUAAAUUCAUGUUCUGAGCCCACUGGCUUGCUUUUCCCCUCCCGUUUUGAGAAAUAGCAACGGUGGUUUCAAGGGGAGUUACAAUCACAUGUAGCACUGGUUAUACUUUCACAAGCUGGACAAGGUUAAAAAUGGGAGGGUUUGCCUUGAGAACAUAUUUGACAUGUUUUAAUUGCAUCUGAUGGGCUUCUUGCAUGAAAUUCUUUCAAAAUAAUUAUGAAACUAAGUCAAAAGCACCAAAGCUGCACGGGCUGAGUGUGUGUGGAGGCGUGUCUUUCAGAGGAGGGGCUCACAGGCAGCAGAGCCUUCUGGAGGGUCUGAGGGAAGAAGUGGCAUUAGCUGCUUCCUUGUGGCCCACAUGCCACCUCUGUGUUCUAUGGAGUCAGGGCUCUGCUUAAAUGAUCCUGAUCAGAGGAGUUGUACCUGCCCUGUUCCCACCCUCCCCUCCCGGGCUCUCCUCCUGAUGGCACUUGCUGCCACCGGACACGGUGCCUCCUGGUCUGUUUGUGUACUGUCUGCUGCUCCAACUAGAACACAAGUGCUAUGUGGCAGGGAUGUGCCUAUUUAUGGCUGUCCCCACAGAGCACAGAGCUGGGCCCACCACAUGAUCAGUACACAACAAUACUGACUGAAUGAAUGACAUCAAUUAACUCUCCACCACCAAGCCUCCUAACCAGCGAAGCAGAACAGGCCCUGUGCUUGCGGUUUCAACAGAAAAGCCUAUCCAGGCAGGAGCAGGGAGUGACCAACAAGGGGACUUCUCAGUGGCAGGUGGGGGUGGAGGAUAGCAGGGGUUCCUCUCUCAGUUGAAAAGCAGGUACAAAAGCCAUGGUGUUUAUCGGGCUCAUGGACAAAAAGCAGGACACCUAGAAACAUGGUUUGGUGGGGGUAGAGAAACAGGCUCAGGGAGAGACAAACCCACCUGGCUUCUGGUGCACACCUGGCUCUUGGUGAGGCAGGGGUGGGUCACAGAACUCCAGAAUCAGGCUGUUGUCUCCCACCGCACCAGGAAGUGACGACAUGUAGACGUGCUUGGAAUUGGAAGUUUAAGCACUUCCCCGGGGCCAAACUUGGAUGAGGAUUGUGUGUACUCUGUGUGUAUGUAUUUACGUAUGCCUGGUGUGUGUGUGAGAGAGAUGGCUGGAGGGAGAGAGGGACAGAGAGAGAGAGUCAUGAGAAGCAUCUGAGUCCUCAGGGGCCUGGAGAUCGUUUUGGAAUUUGGGCUCUGUGAACUAUGGCCGCCUUCCGCUCUUGAAUGGGGUGGUGGAAGUACUGAGCUGUUAGAAGUCACAUGGUCUGAAAGGGGCCUGCCAGCCUCGGUCCUACCAACACACGGUGACCAAAGACCCAGUGUGUGGGGAUCGAUGUUGUCUGCAAACAAAUCAAAAGACUUGUGAUAUAUAAUUCUAUGGGACAUUGUCAGCCCAUCUUUGGGACCUGCUCAACUGUGAUUUGUGACAGAUAAUACUCAAAUCCAUUUUUUAAAUCAACCGUCAACUCCAGUUUCAUGAAAAGUGCUGUCCCCACAGAUCCGUGAAGGGCGGUGGGAGGGGUGGUUUGCAUGAGAGAGGAGCUCUGCUAAGGUGACUGGAAAGUGCUGCCUGAGACCUGUUCCCUGGAAGCACAGCUCUUUUUGGUUAAAUACAUAAACUACCAUAAAAACCACAAUUACAGUGACUACCAUGGUGAUAAUUUCAAUGCACUGAAUUAUAUGAAAAAAUAAAACAAACAAAACCUGGGACACAAUUGAACAGCACAAGAAGUAGGAAUGUGGCACAGUCUGUAAUUUAUGUUUAUUGCCAUGGGUUUCGACGGACCAAAUGGCUCAUGCCUGCCUGCACUGUAGCUGAGUCAUGUUUGAUAUCUCAAAGUGGCAGUAAAAAAAAUCUUUAUGGCUCCCAUGCUAUUUUCAUACCUUAUUUAUUCUGUUUUUUUCCCCUGUUUUUAAGUCAUCUUUUGUAUUUUCUUCUUGCUUAUUAAGUUGGUUACUAUGGAGAUCAUGACAUCAGUCAUCUUGACUAAGCUUAAUGGUCUUGAGGCAACAUUCAGACUAAAAGUUUUGAUACUUAAAGUGGCUCAACCCUGGAGAAUGAGAGCAGAUUGAGAACUGAGGACUGUGGGCUUCAAGCUGCUUCUCUAAUGGAACACAGAGGUGAAAGGCAGUCCCUGCCCACUCGACCAAGGCCACGUGGGGCAGCCCUUUGGGAGGACCGCGCCCCCGGCUAACCAGGCAGAUAACGGGUUGCAAGAAGGUUUUUUGAGUCUGAAAAGCCUGACUGUUAUGCAUCAAAAGUCAAAGUUGAUGCUUCCAAUGACAGAUGCAGAAGAACACAUGGGGACAGCGAGCCCACUGUCUGAGGACCAGGAGGAGGAAAGCCAGAGGGGAAGAAGGAGAAAUCAGUGCAGCGCAGCCCUCUCCUUCCUCUGGCUAAGGCCAGGAAAGUGGAAGGAAGGGGGCAGGAUCCCUACAAAGAUUUUGGAGAAUACAGGAAGGAGACUGCCUCACAAGGGAGACUCUACUGCCACCUUGUCCUGGGAAGAGUCCAGUGGAGAUGGCUGAGGGAACUUCCUGGAUGAGGAAGGAAAUGAGGCAGCAAUGAGCUUCUGAAAGCCCAAAGCAAGGAAAGCGGAGAGGAAGAGAGCACGUAGCUCCAGGGAACACAAGGCCACACUCAGACUGGCCUCAAGGCUGUGAGGAUGGGAUUCUUCUGCAGCAAGCAGUGAGGGCUGCGGGGGCCUGGAUGCCAGGACAAGGGGUGACUUUGCCUGAGGACAAAAGCUGAUGUUCUGAACUCAGGAUUCCUGUGAGGACAGGCACUACCCAAGCAGCAGGUACCUCCCCUCCCAGCCUCCUCCCCGCCUGCCACGAUGCCAUGACAUUCCAUGUCCAUGAGCUCCUGAGAACUUGGAUGUCUUUCCUACCUGCCUAAAAACAUGAAAGAAGAAAUCUCCCAAAUGGACUCAAUGUAAACAUUAAAUGAUUAAAUUUACCCAGAAUUGAUGGAGGUUACUUUUACUCCCAUCAGGUGGAAUAAAGGCUCAAAGCAGAGACUCAGCUCAAUUAGAAAAAAAUAGGAAAAUAAAAGAUGUAUCCUUUUGCACACCUGGUUACUUGUCUUAAAAAUCUGUAUCUGACAUAAAAAAGAGGGUUUGUUGUAUAUCUCUGUACUCUGUAUGUUGCUUAGAUAAAGCAACAUAUUGCCAAGAGAAAUCAUCUUUUUCAAUUCAGGAAUCACAAGUUUUCAUUUUCAAAUUCUAAAACUUUAUGCUUUUUGAUUAAAGAGAUAGUAACUUUACCUUUGACUGAGCAAUACCAUUUCCAGGAAUUUGUUCAAAGGAAAUCAAAACAAAUGUGCUGAAAAAUAAUAAG
This 7252-nucleotide long non-coding RNA is filed under the name Homo sapiens (human). RNAcentral's name for it is "HSALNT0265162". The record is from RNAcentral. Lineage: Eukaryota; Metazoa; Chordata; Mammalia; Primates; Hominidae.